Long non-coding RNA from Scleropages formosus (Asian bonytongue), 422 nucleotides. RefSeq lists it as uncharacterized. The transcript has 5 exons. NCBI's taxonomy places the organism in Eukaryota, Metazoa, Chordata, Actinopteri, Osteoglossiformes, Osteoglossidae. The record is from RefSeq and is a predicted model, not a curated record.
CAGUGAGGGAGACCCCCUCUCAGGGAAAGAUGAGAAGCCAGAGGACUAUGACGAUGCGUUUCCUGUAGAGAAGAGUGCAGGAGGUUUGUCAGAGAAGCUGUCUACAGAAGACACACCAGAGGACUAUGAUGAUGUUACCAUGGGACAGAAUCCAGGUUCCAGACUGAUGGGGACAGAAGAAACAGUGGAGGACUAUGAUGAUGUUGUGAGUGUAGAACAGAGUCCACUUGUGUUACCAGGAAAGAGAGCAUUGACCACACUGCCCCCUGUGGAGGGACCCCCUGCUCCUGACCCCACUGACUAUGAUGAUGUAGAGGAUGGGGGAUCCUCUGCAGUUCUGGAAUCAAUGUGUGACUGACAGUCCAGUCUGAAGGUCCUUGUGCCCAAAGCUUCAAACCAGCUCAUUAAAAUUAUGCAUAUAA